Molecule: ribosomal RNA, 785 nt
Filed under: uncultured Glomus
Lineage: Eukaryota; Fungi; Glomeromycota; Glomeromycetes; Glomerales; Glomeraceae
Description: SSU rRNA
Rfam family: Eukaryotic small subunit ribosomal RNA
Source: RNAcentral
AUGGUAGGAUAGAGGCCUACCAUGGUGGUAACGGGUAACGGGGUGUUAGGGCACGACACCGGAGAGGGAGCCUGAGAAACGGCUACCACAUCCAAGGAAGGCAGCAGGCGCGCAAAUUACCCAAUCCCGACACGGGGAGGUAGUGACAAUAAAUAACAAUACAGGGUUCUUUGAAUCUUGUAAUUGGAAUGAGUACAAUUUAAAUCUCUUAACGAGGAACAAUUGGAGGGCAAGUCUGGUGCCAGCAGCCGCGGUAAUUCCAGCUCCAAUAGCGUAUAUUAAAGUUGUUGCAGUUAAAAAGCUCGUAGUUGAAUUUCGGGAUCAAUACGUCGGUCGUGCUUUCGGGUACGUACUGGCGUCAUUGGUUUCUCCUUUCUGACGAACCAUGAUGUCAUUAAUUUGGUGUUAUGGGGAGUUAGGACUGUUACUUUGAAAAAAUUAGAGUGUUUAAAGCAGGCAUUAGCUUGAAUACAUUAGCAUGGAAUAAUGAAAUAGGACGUUCGAUCCUAUUUUGUUGGUUUCUAGGAUCAGCGUAAUGAUUAAUAGGGAUAGUUGGGGGCAUUAGUAUUCAAUUGUCAGAGGUGAAAUUCUUGGAUUUAUUGAAGACUAACUACUGCGAAAGCAUUUGCCAAGGAUGUUUUCAUUAAUCAAGAACGAAAGUUAGGGGAUCGAAGACGAUCAGAUACCGUCGUAGUCUUAACCAUAAACUAUGCCGACUAGGGAUCGGAUGAUGUUAAUUUUUUAAUGACUCAUUCGGCGCCUUACGGGAAACCAAAGUGUUUGGG